GAAGGGGGCUAGCGUUGCUCGGAAUUACUGGGCGUAAAGGGAACGUAGGCGGACAUUUAAGUCAGAGGUGAAAUCCCGGAGCUUAACUUCGGAACUGCCUUUGAUACUGGAUGUCUUGAGUGUGAGAGAGGUAUGUGGAACUCCGAGUGUAGAGGUGAAAUUCGUAGAUAUUCGGAAGAACACCAGUGGCGAAGGCGACAUACUGGCUCAUUACUGACGCUGAGGCUCGAAAGCGUGGGGAGCAAACAGGAUUAGAUACCCUGGUAGUCCACGCCGUAAACGAUGAUUGCUAGUUGUCGGGGAGUUUACUUCUCGGUGACGCAGCUAACGCAUUAAGCAAUCCGCCUGGGGAGUACGGUCGCAAGAUUA
This 369-nucleotide ribosomal RNA is filed under the name uncultured bacterium. RNAcentral's name for it is "bacterial SSU rRNA". It matches the Rfam family "Bacterial small subunit ribosomal RNA", at positions 527 to 896 of the family's 1533-position model. The record is from RNAcentral.